ACUCUCAUCAGGAAUUAAACAAACAGCAACGGGAGAAGAUGAUCUGCAGGAUCCUUCUGCUCAUCAGCCUGACCUCCUGUGUCUCUGGAACAUUUGAAGUGAAAGUGACACAGACCUCCUAUCAGGCAGAGGAGAACCACAACAUCACACUGGAAUGGAUGUUUACAACCAAACCUGACAGUUCCUCCACCUCACUGAACAUCUACUGUGACAUGUUGUCUGAUAAUAACGACGCCUCAGUCCU
Molecule: long non-coding RNA, 244 nt
Organism: Scomber japonicus (chub mackerel)
Lineage: Eukaryota; Metazoa; Chordata; Actinopteri; Scombriformes; Scombridae
Exons: 3
Source: RefSeq, a predicted model, not a curated record